GAACGAGACCUUCGGGUCUAGUGGCGCACGGGUGCGUAACGCGUGGGAAUCUGCCCUUGGGUUCGGGAUAACAGUUGGAAACGACUGCUAAUACCGGAUGAUGACUUCGGUCCAAAGAUUUAUCGCCCAGGGAUGAGCCCGCGUAGGAUUAGCUUGUUGGUGAGGUAAAAGCUCACCAAGGCGACGAUCCUUAGCUGGUCUGAGAGGAUGAUCAGCCACACUGGGACUGAGACACGGCCCAGACUCCUACGGGAGGCAGCAGUGGGGAAUAUUGGACAAUGGGCGAAAGCCUGAUCCAGCAAUGCCGCGUGAGUGAUGAAGGCCUUAGGGUUGUAAAGCUCUUUUACCCGGGAAGAUAA
Molecule: ribosomal RNA, 359 nt
Filed under: uncultured bacterium
Lineage: Bacteria
Description: bacterial SSU rRNA
Rfam family: Bacterial small subunit ribosomal RNA
Source: RNAcentral